GACGAACGCUGGCGGCGUGCUUUACACAUGCAAGUCGAACGGUGAAGGUGGAGCUUGCUCCGCCGGAUCAGUGGCGAACGGGUGAGUAACACGUGGGCAACCUGCCCCUAACUUUGGGAUAACUACUCGAAAGAGUAGCUAAUACCGGAUAUGAAGUCUGUAGGCAUCUAUGGAUUUGGAAAGUUUUUCGGUUAGGGAUGGGCCCGCGGCCUAUCAGCUUGUUGGUGAGGUAGUGGCUCACCAAGGCGACGACGGGUAGCCGGCCUGAGAGGGCGACCGGCCACACUGGGACUGAGACACGGCCCAGACUCCUACGGGAGGCAGCAGUGGGGAAUAUUGCACAAUGGGCGCAAGCCUGAUGCAGCGACGCCGCGUGAGGGAUGACGGCCUUCGGGUUGUAAACCUCUUUCAGCACCGACGAAGCGCAAGUGACGGUAGGUGCAGAAGAAGGACCGGCCAACUACGUGCCAGCCGCCGCCGUAA
RNAcentral lists this ribosomal RNA (483 nucleotides) under uncultured bacterium. Its description in RNAcentral is "partial 16S ribosomal RNA". It matches the Rfam family "Bacterial small subunit ribosomal RNA", at positions 28 to 523 of the family's 1533-position model. The record is from RNAcentral.